This 252-nucleotide ribosomal RNA is filed under the name uncultured bacterium. RNAcentral describes it as "partial 16S ribosomal RNA". It matches the Rfam family "Bacterial small subunit ribosomal RNA", at positions 524 to 776 of the family's 1533-position model. The record is from RNAcentral.
UACGUAGGGGGCUAGCGUUAUCCGGAAUUACUGGGCGUAAAGGGUGCGUAGGUGGUUUCUUAAGUCAGAGGUGAAAGGCAACGGCUCAACCGUAGUAAGCCUUUGAAACUGGGGAACUUGAGUGCAGGAGAGGAGAGUGGAAUUCCUAGUGUAGCGGUGAAAUGCGUAGAUAUUAGGAGGAACACCAGUUGCGAAGGCGGCUCUCUGGACUGUAACUGACACUGAGGCACGAAAGCGUGGGGAGCAAACAGG